ACAGAGCGGAACAACAACUCUCCAUUUUCCCGCCUUUCCCCAAGUUGCACAAAUAACAUAACAAUCCGACAUCUGCUUACACUCGCCUGGGCCAGAGGAGAGUCGAGUGAGGGGACAGAACGCACGCGCACCUAUAUUCAAGAGGUGCUUCCUGAGAGAAAGGAGCGUUCGGAUUGUCCGUCUACAGGUCUUGGUCGCUCCCAGAGCAGAAAGCCCUUGUGAUGUCAGGAAAAGAAGGCACAGGAAAUUGUCGAGGGACUAGGACAUGGUGUGACAGAGGACGGGGCUCUCUUCUCCCGCUGCAGCCUGUCGUGAACUUGAGCGUUACUGGACCAGGGGCGUGCUAUCCCAGCUGCACAAAUGUUACUGCCCGGGCGACGCGGGCUUUUUCUCAUCCUUUUCAUUGUUUUCCCGGACUGCACCACCGUGAGCCACAGUCCUUGUCCUUGCCCAAAAUUUCGAGGAACCAAAUGAGGUUUUCAUAGAGAUGACGCCCGUCAGAGGCUGUUUAGAAACUGGAAAUGAAACCAAAGGUAUACAUCUCUAGAUAGUUGAAUUCUUACAAAGGGCAGGGCUUUGUUUUAUGGAAAAGACUAGGUAUUUGCCUUUAAUUUCGGGUUUAUGCAACAUUUUGUUUCAGACGUCUUUCCUUGAAAUAUAUGCAGACUUCAGCAAAAUGGACACAGCCUAGCUUUUAGAAGAACUUCCUUCCUUAAAUUGAACUUUUGCCUACGUGGUCCUGUCGUUGUUGUUGUUUUUCAGAUUUAUUUAAAUAGAGGCAAUAAUUACUUGUAUUCAAACAGUGAUCUGCGGGGCAGAAGAUCUUUUUUACUCCGAAAAGGCAACCUUAGUUUGGUCAAGUGAUCAGACACCCGGCAAAAACAAUCACCUUGGAUUCGUUUGCAUACGAAAGGAGAACGAAUGUGACUUGAAAAGGCUUCUCGGGAAAUCUGAAAGGACAGGUGGGGUUAAUUCCAAACUGCUGAAUCCUAACGAGGCUGAGACUCGAGUUUCCCGGGACGAGGCCCUAGACUGCACGCCGGGCCGGGCUGCGCUGUGCGCGCAGCACCCUGGCCCCCACCCUCUCUGGUCCCUGCCCGCCUGGCAUCCCCGUGGCCGCCGCGGGGAGCCCGUCUUCCCUUCCGGCAGCGGCCGGCGCUGCACCUGCUGCGGGUCUCCAUCAGGGGCGCCCGCGCGUAUCCGGACGCCAGGUCGCCCCCUGUGGCGCCGGGCCCUGUGCUCUCCGCGGCGCACACUCGCCAUGCGUGGCUUCCAGAUGCUUCGUCCGUUCACCCCAACGCGCCCAGGGAACGACUCGAUGUUUCUGGACUGGUGGCAAGCGCGUUCUCCGAACAGCGUGCGUCGAGAGCCCCUUCGGGGUCAGCGCGUCCCGGACCCAGGAGCCGCACCACUUGCCUCGAGCGCCACCGCCUGGCCAAAACGGGAACCACCUCUGCCCGUCGCGGAGGCGCGUCUUGAAAACUGGCCAGACGGGGUUUUUCUAGUUUCUGAACAAUCCCCGCCUUGAUCCAUUUUCUGUAGAGUGACCCUGAUGGAUAUUCUCGCUUACGAAUGCAGGCUCUGUUUGGGGUAUAAUGUUGGUGACACCUCGUCCCAUGGAAGAAUGAGCUCAAUCUUUUGAGAAGACCAGAAGUCAGUUAGUGAUUCAUGCGAGGAAUAAAGUGAGUUGUCCAGGUGGUGUUAUGAACCGGGGAAGACUUUCUCAAGAGAUAUGGAUGGAUUUAUGAAGAGCCCUCGAGCAGUUACUUCCCUUUGACCAAGUAAUUUUGCUCUUGGGAACAUAUCCAAGGACACAGUACCAGGAGCACAGACUUCCAUGUGUUGUGAUCCAAACUUUGUAAGAAGGAUCAAAAACGUGUCUUCAAAGAUGCAGACCUGCUGGGAAACCAUAGAGACGUGAAGUUUGCUGACUCCUGUUCCAGAACAUCACGGAAGACAGCUGCACGGCUUUUAUAAAUAUGCUGCGUGUAUUAAAUCACAAGUAAUCCUCGGAGUGUGGUCGGUGGUCUUCCUCAAGUCUGGUGCUAGGAGCGCCUGAGGUAACACCAGGAAGGGUACCAACCAGAGGUCUCCAGAUGAUGGUGCCUGCAGUGGACAGGACCCUGGCACAGCACCUCUUCCGAGUUUGGGUUGGGCUCUCUCUCUGCUGCACUAUAUCUACACAGGACAAAAAAAAAAAUGGAGGAGGAGAGCCUGGAGGUGUUAUAAAGAUCUUUAGUGACAAAGAAAGCCUAGUAUGUGACAAAACCACAAAGGGACAGAGACCUUUAGCUCCUCCUUUGACUUCCUACCUGUUACGGGUUGAAUUGUGCUCCCUGCUCUCCUCACAUUCACUCGUUGAAACCCUAACCCCAGCACCUCAGAAUGUCAUCUUAUUUGGAGACAGAGUUUUUACAGAGGUCAUUAAGACAUAAUGAGGUCAUUAGGGUGGCCCCAAUCCAAUAAGACUGGUGUCCUUAUCAGAAGAGGAGAUUAGAACACAGACAGUCGGCCCUCCUGCCCACAUCUUGUGGCCUGCAGAGCCGUGAGAAAGUAAUUCUGUUGUCUUAAUCCAGCCAGCCUGUGGUAUUUUGUUACGGCAGCCGAACUGACUAAUACAUCACCUCAUUCGGUGUCGGGGUGAAAUUGUGCUUCAUAUACAGAUGUUUUUCUCUGUGAAUCAUCUCACCUCUCUUGUCUAAUUGUUCACAGAUUUUGUAUAAGCGAUGGCGUAUAUUUGAAGUGAAAGAAAUAGCACCGAUGAAGGGCAGAGAGCUUUCCAAAAGUCAUCCAGCUGGUCCUUGGGAUGUUGCGAGUAAUUUACGAUGGACAAAGCUGGGCAGCUGUUCUGCUUUUUAAACCUCACUCUCUUCCACAGCGGGCAGAAAAUUACUCUAAGAGGCGAUUCUUCAAAGAUUUGUCUUGUUCUUUUCCAAAAGACGUCACAAAAAGAUUGUCUUUAUAUCGGGGGGUGAUUUGAACGGUCUCCUCCCUGGCUCAGUUCGGCCCAUUUUUGUCUCUACCCCAUCUUCCGGGCUCUCGUCAAACCAAUAACAUACACGCCCGAGGACGAAUUGAUGAUUUUUGUGCAGAUUGUUAAAAAUAGUGCAACUGUGGGCAGAGGAGCGACCAUGGGAAGUGAUUCACUUCCUCUGGCCAGCUUCUCGGACACCUACCAACCCCCGAGAAAUAGAAAUAAUAGAAAUCAUGCUGACGAAACAUGGCAGGUCAUUGCUAGGCUGGACCCGGUCAGUCAGGUGGGCGGGCAACCACGCGGGGCAAACCUGAGCUCAUUACCACUGAGGGCAAAGUGACUUGCUCAAGAGAUGAUCUAACACCAUGCCUUGAUUUCCCAUUUCUGGCAGCGGCUGACCCCACCUCAGAUGCGUUUCUGCCUGGCACCAAGACCGUCUUUGAAGUCUGGGUUCAUGCCUAACUUCCACUCCGUAAAUCAGUUCUCUCUAGCAUUUAAAUGGUACGGUUGAUGGACUCUAACUACGACAGAGAUACUUUCCCCUCGGCUUUUGGGGACACAGUGGGGGAAGGGGAUGGGGUGGUGGCAGGACUUCCGCUGGUGGUCCUCGGUCCAGUUCCAAUGGACCCUUCGUGGUGGUCCGACCCUUCCUACCUGGUCUUGGUCACAGGCUGCGUUGGCUUCUCUUAAGACAGUGGUAUGCCCAGACAAGAAUCAUUGGAAUGAUUUUGAGCCUUAUCUGGCAUUUGACAGAUAAACCUUCUCCAGUGAGGUCUCGUGAAUGUGCACCGCUUCUGGGGGGUCUUCCCCAUCCUCCACUCAGGAAAUAGAAGAGGGCUCAGAGGCCCCGUGGGCUGUUAGGAAACUUCCCUACCCCACCCCCAGCCCGAGAAAAACGUGAUUUUACCCAGGGCAUUAAAAGUUGGAGCUGUACACGGAAAGGCUCCUGCCUGGUGUGUCUGGGCCCUCGGACCCAUUUCUUCUUCAUUACUAUUAUUCCCAACAAAAUGUGCCAUACGUUAUUAUUCAACUAAAUCUAUAAACUUGAGUGAAGAAUAAUUGGUUUGGAAGGAUGUAAGUAUAUAUUUUCAAAAGUCACCCAAUGCAGAUUUCUGGAAACAAGGUGGGUUAAAAAUAAACAGACAAAAUGAGCAACCAAAUCACAACAACCACGAAAAAUCCAUCAAGGGCCGAGUCGCUUAUGAUGUUUUGGAAAAAUAAUUUUUAAAUGUUGAAGAAUUUUUAAAAAUAUCUUCCACACAAAGCCGAGUGUGUUCAUUCCACGUUCUAAAGAGCUUUGUGCAAGCGGAUAAAAAGGGAGCAAGGAAGAGAUACGGGGAGAGGGAGAGAUACGGAGUUGGAGUUGGAUGAAGUGGGAAAUGAGACCAGACAGACAGACAGGAUGAUUGUGGAAGAG
Prionailurus viverrinus (fishing cat) is the source of this 4391-nucleotide long non-coding RNA. RefSeq lists it as uncharacterized. The transcript is spliced from 4 exons. Lineage: Eukaryota; Metazoa; Chordata; Mammalia; Carnivora; Felidae. The record is from RefSeq and is a predicted model, not a curated record.